Molecule: ribosomal RNA, 468 nt
Filed under: uncultured bacterium
Lineage: Bacteria
Description: partial 16S ribosomal RNA
Rfam family: Bacterial small subunit ribosomal RNA
Source: RNAcentral
GACGAACGCUGGCGGCGUGCUUAACACAUGCAAGUCGAACGGAAAGGCCCGGCUUGUGUUGGUGGCUCGAGGGGCGAACGGGUGAGUAACACGGGAGUAACCUGCCCUGGACUGUGGGAUAACUUGAGGAAACGGGGGCUAAUACCGAAGAGGAGAGCCUGCUAAAGGGGGGUGUUUGGAAAUUUUAGGCGGUUGGGGGUGGACUCGCGGCUUAUCAGCUGGUUGGGGGGGGAGGGGCUUACCAAGGCUUUGACGGGUAGCCGGCCUGAGAGGGUGACCGGCCCCAUUGGGACUGAGAUACGGCCCAGACUCCUACGGGAGGCAGCAGUGGGGAAUCUUGCACAAUGGGCGGAAGCCUGAUGCAGCAACGCCGCGUGCGGGAUGACGGCCUUCGGGUUGUAAACCGCUUUCGCCUGUGACGAAGCGUGAGUGACGGUAAUGGGUAAAGAAGCACCGGCUAACUACGUG